AUGACUCUGACCUGCGUCCUCAUCUGGACUCUCCUCUGCUGCUGCUUCACAGAGUCCAGAGGCCAAGUCACAGUGACUCAGCCUGGAGCAGUGAGAUCAGCUGUGGGAAACUCCGCCACCAUCUCAUGCAGAACCAGUCAGAAUGUUUAUAGCUCAAACUAUUUAGCCUGGUACCAACAGAGAGAUGGAGAAACUCCUAAACUGCUCAUUUACUAUGCUUCCACUCGAGCAUCAGGGAUUCCAGGUCGUUUUACAGGCAGUGGAUCAAACUCUGACUUCACUCUGACCAUCAGUGGAGUCCAGGCUGAAGAUGCUGCAGUUUACUACUGUCAGAGUGCUCACUACAUCAACAGUCAAUACGUGUUCACACAGUGA
This is a non-coding RNA of Scophthalmus maximus (turbot), 375 nucleotides long. NCBI's taxonomy places the organism in Eukaryota, Metazoa, Chordata, Actinopteri, Pleuronectiformes, Scophthalmidae. The record is from the annotation of a RefSeq genome assembly.